RNAcentral lists this ribosomal RNA (486 nucleotides) under uncultured bacterium. Its description in RNAcentral is "partial 16S ribosomal RNA". It matches the Rfam family "Bacterial small subunit ribosomal RNA", at positions 30 to 507 of the family's 1533-position model. The record is from RNAcentral.
AUUGAACGCUGGCGGCAUGCCUUACACAUGCCAGUCGAACGGCAGCACGGGUGCUUGCACCUGGUGGCGAGUGGCGAACGGGUGAGUAUUACAUCGGAACAUGUCCUGUAGUGGGGGAUAGCCCGGCGAAAGCCGGAUUAAUACCGCAUACGAUCUACGGAUGAAAGCGGGGGACCUUCGGGCCUCGCGCUAUAGGGUUGGCCGAUGGCUGAUUAGCUAGUUGGUGGGGUAAAGGCCUACCAAGGCGACGAUCAGUAGCUGGUCUGAGAGGACGACCAGCCACACUGGGACUGAGACACGGCCCAGACUCCUACGGGAGGCAGCAGUGGGGAAUUUUGGACAAUGGGCGAAAGCCUGAUCCAGCAAUGCCGCGUGUGUGAAGAAGGCCUUCGGGUUGUAAAGCACUUUUGUCCGGAAAGAAAUCCUUGGCCCUAAUACGGUCGGGGGAUGACGGUACCGGAAGAAUAAGCACCGGCUAACUACGUG